This 82-nucleotide microRNA precursor is filed under the name Gorilla gorilla gorilla (western lowland gorilla). RNAcentral's name for it is "miRNA (ENSGGOG00000041602.1)". The record is from RNAcentral. Lineage: Eukaryota; Metazoa; Chordata; Mammalia; Primates; Hominidae.
GACAAAUUUUAAAUGUCCCUGUCCCCUUCCCCCCAAUUAAAGUAGAUUGGGGGAAAGCGAGUAGAGACAUUUAAAAUUUGUU